Acanthosepion pharaonis is the source of this 109-nucleotide non-coding RNA. NCBI's taxonomy places the organism in Eukaryota, Metazoa, Mollusca, Cephalopoda, Sepiida, Sepiidae. The record is from the annotation of a GenBank genome assembly.
GGCCACCUCCCGUUGAAACACUGGUUCCUGUACGAUCACCGAAGUUAAGUAGCAUCGACUCUGGUCAGUACUUAGAUGGGUUACUACCUUCGAAUACUGGGUGGUGUAA